UUUAAGGCUCCUGAAGGAACGUUGAAGACGACGACGUUGAUAGGUCGGGUGUGUAAGCGCAGCGAUGCGUUGAGCUAACCGAUACUAAUGAACCGUGAGGCUUAACCUUACAACGCCGAAGC
This 122-nucleotide ribosomal RNA is filed under the name Leclercia adecarboxylata. Its description in RNAcentral is "partial 23S ribosomal RNA". The stretch from base 1 to 109 matches the Rfam family "Bacterial large subunit ribosomal RNA", at positions 2812 to 2925 of the family's 2925-position model. The record is from RNAcentral. Lineage: Bacteria; Pseudomonadati; Pseudomonadota; Gammaproteobacteria; Enterobacterales; Enterobacteriaceae.